Molecule: ribosomal RNA, 219 nt
Filed under: uncultured microorganism
Description: partial 16S ribosomal RNA
Rfam family: Archaeal small subunit ribosomal RNA
Source: RNAcentral
GUGCAGCAGGCGAGAAACCUUCGCAAUGCAGGAAACUGCGACGAGGGAACUCCAAGUGCCUACGCUCAGCGUAGGCUGUUCUCAAGCCUAGAAAGCUUGAGGAGUAAGGGGCUGGGUAAGACGGGUGCCAUCUGUGGUAGCAGUCAAUAGAUUCGAUUUGUUACUGCAAGGCAUAAGCCGCCGCGGUAAUACCCGCAGCCCAAGUGGUGGCCGCUUUUA